This 253-nucleotide ribosomal RNA is filed under the name uncultured bacterium. RNAcentral's name for it is "partial 16S ribosomal RNA". It matches the Rfam family "Bacterial small subunit ribosomal RNA", at positions 524 to 776 of the family's 1533-position model. The record is from RNAcentral.
UACGUAGGCAGCAAGCGUUGUUCGGAGUUACUGGGCGUAAAGGGUGUGUAGGCGGUUGGUUAAGUUUGGUGUGAAAUCUCCCGGCUCAACCGGGAGGGUGCGCCGAAUACUGAGUGACUAGAGUGCGGGAGAGGAAAGUGGAAUUCCUGGUGUAGCGGUGAAAUGCGUAGAUAUCAGGAGGAACACCGGUGGUGUAGACGGCUUUCUGGACCAUAACUGACGCUGAGGCACGAAAGCGUGGGUAGCAAACAGG